Molecule: ribosomal RNA, 468 nt
Filed under: uncultured bacterium
Lineage: Bacteria
Description: partial 16S ribosomal RNA
Rfam family: Bacterial small subunit ribosomal RNA
Source: RNAcentral
GACGAACGCUGGCGGCGUGCUUAACACAUGCAAGUCGAACGGAAAGGCCCUGCUUUUGUGGGGUGCUCGAGGGGCGAACGGGUGAGUAACACGUGAGUAACCUGCCCUUGACUUUGGGAUAACUUCAGGAAACUGGGGCUAAUACCGGAUAGGAGCUCCUGCUGCAUGGUGGGGGUUGGAAAGUUUCGGCGGUUGGGGAUGGACUCGCGGCUUAUCAGCUUGUUGGUGGGGUAGUGGCUUACCAAGGCUUUGACGGGUAGGCGGCCUGAGAGGGUGACCGGCCACAUUGGGACUGCGAUACGGCCCAGACUCCUACGGGAGGCAGCAGUGGGGAAUAUUGCACAAUGGGCGGAAGCCUGAUGCAGCAACGCCGCGUGCGGGAUGACGGCCUUCGGGUUGUAAACCGCUUUCGCCUGUGACGAAGCGUGAGUGACGGUAAUGGGUAAAGAAGCACCGGCUAACUACGUG